AUGUCAGAGAGCAUCGUUAGGAAGGUACAACCCUUCACCAUCGGAACCAGGCUCUCCGUCUCUGGACCUUCCACCAGGUCUAAAGGUCCAAACUUCCCCCAGCAGCCGUCCUGGCAGAGCGACCGGGUCUCCCUCUACCUCAGCCAGGUGCAGGUGAGUGUGGCUACUCCUCAUCUAGCUCCCCUUGCUAACCGGACCACCCCAACAUCUGUACCUGUUAAACAGCAGCAGGAGGACAUAUCUACCCAGGACCACCGGAACCAGAAUACCAUGUCUGUGUCUCCCAACUCCCACCGGAGCUCUGUCUCUCCUACCGCCACUUCCAGAUCCAUCAGCAAGAUCACCAUCUCUGGGAGCCCAGAGGACAGCUCCUGGAGGAGACAGGAGGAGUCAGACCACAGGGUGGUUAUUGAGAAGGAGGACAGCUCCUGGAGGAGACAGGAGGAGUCAGACCACAGGGUGGUCAUUGAGAAGGAGGACAGCUCCUGGAGGAGACAGGAGGAGUCAGACCACAGGGUGGUCAUUGAGAAGGAGGACAGCUCCUGGAGGAGACAGGAGGAGUCAGACCACAGGGUGGUCAUUGAGAAGGAGGACAGCUCCUGGAGGACACAGGAGGAGUCAGACCACAGGGUGGUCAGUAUAGGACCAGGACCGGGACGACCCCCUGUCACAGGAACUCCCGGAUCAGAAAACAUCAACAACAACAACAACAACAUCAGCAGCUCCAAGCAACAGCUGCCCAGAAUAGUGGGAGUCAGCUGUGAGAACCAACCCAGCUCACAUAUUAAGGACCAUGGCAGCAUGUUUGGGUUCCUACAGACAUUGGGGCCCAGAGCAAGGUCCCCAAGGAAAGACAGAGAUGCUGAGACAGUAGUGGUAGCCCAGAAUGACAGCUACACCCAACGCACUUCCCUCUUUAACCAGGAAGUACUACAGGAGGGUAGAGGGUUAAUCAGAGCCCAGCACCCCGGCAACUCUAAGAUCCAGGACUUCUUGAUUCGGCUGGAGGAGUUAUGGGAGGAGCUAAGGAGACGACAUCACAGGAACCAGGUCUACCUGCAGGCAGGGGAGGAGAUGAGCUUUAGGACAGUACAUCUCCUCCAGGCCUUGGGUAGUAUAGAAGCCUGGUUGGAGGCAGCAGAGCUGUCCAUGUCGAACUCCCAGUUGGCAGUAGACCCAGAGACCAUGAGGCUGGCUGAGAGAGACAGCUGCCUGCUCCAGACAGAGAUGUCCUGCCGGGGAAUGGAGCUAACAGCACUCAGACAGGAGAUGGACAGGCUGGGUGGUCAGCGGGAGGGUCAGUGCCCAGGAUACCCCAACACUGAGGGCCUUCAGGUGCCACAACACCACACACAGGUCCUCCCAGAUCUUAUGGACCAGGUGGAGAGAAAGUACCAACGUGUCCAGACCGCGUUGACCCAGCAGAGUUCGUCGCUGCAGGACACCAGGAUGCUGACAGAGUUUCUGGAGCGGGUGGAGCUAGAGGAGAGGGUGGAGCUAGAGGAGACCCAGAAGGCCAGGGGGAGGGGCUACAGCAGUAACCUUGGACAGCCUCUCCACGGUGAGAUCAGCUCAGCUCUUACCCUGCUGGGUGAUGGGUGUGGAAGCGGUGGUGGGGAGCCAAUGAUGGAGCCGCUGGGAAACCCUGUAGAGGAGCUGCAGGAGGCAGUGGAGAUGUUGAAUGACACGGUCAGAGAGAGAGGACGAUCACAGAAUCACAUCCAUGAUCAAGCCAUCCAGACUAUGAUCCGACAGCUGGCUGUGCUGUCAGUGCGUGUGGAGGACAGUCUGUGCUGCAGUAGAAAGCUGAACCAGGAACUCCUACAGAGAGAGAAAGACAUGGCCAUGCGCUGUGAACCAGAACAAUGUGGACUAGAGGGACUGAAGGAACAGCAAGAAAACCUAGAGGUGAAUUAUGCUGUGCUGAAGGAAGAGGUGGAGGAGCUCCAGAGACAGACUGGUUAUCUGGAGGAGCUAUGCCCAGAGAGAGUGACCUUCCUGGCGGUGGAGGUGCAGGGAGCCCUGGGGGUAUGGAGGGAAUUGAGGAGGAACGUAGAGGGGAACAGAGACAGAUUACGACAGUUUGUUCACCUGCAGGACUUCUUCAGGACCUACCUGGCCAUGAUAUCGUGGAUGGAGGACACCCGGGAGUGUAUUUUCUCUGAGAGAGUGUUGCAUUGUGGGAGGGACGACCAGGAGCCAAUGGCUGCGGUGAUGGAGAUGGACGUCCAGAUAGACAGAAAGUUGGAGGAGUUGGAGGAGAUGGAUGCUGCAGGGAGGAACCUGCUGAACGCUGAGCACCACCUGGCCAACAUGAUCCAUGAGCGUCUGGAGGAGUUGAGGUCCAUGCUGGGAUGGAUGCUGGUCCACUGGAGAAACCAGAAACACCAGAGGAGUCAACGCAGGAAUAACGAGACUGAACCUAAUGAAGAUCUUAUCGACUCUGAGCCCCCAACAGAGCAGACUUCUGGAGAUAAUAUCUACUCAAAGACCACAGUAGAGUCCACUAGAGACAACAUCUACUCAGAGACCACAGUAGAGUCCACUAGAGACAACAUCUACUCAGAGACCACAGUAGAGUCCACUAGAGACAACAUCUACUCAGAGACCACAGUAGAGUCCACUAGAGACAACAUCUACUCAGAGACCACAGUAGAGUCCACUAGAGACAACAUCUACUCAGAGACCACAGGAGCAGAUAUCUACACAGAUGAUACAGCCUGCUCCACCCACAGUACCCCUGCUCAGCCAGAGACCCACAGUACCCCUGCUCAGCCAGAGACCCACUUUACCCCUGAACUGAGUGUCUUUGAGGACAGACUGAGGAAAAUAGACACUCUGUACUGUCCCGCAACAGACCAGCAAAGUUGGAAGGACCAAGAGGAUGGCUAUCAGGUGAUGAACAGCAACACAGGGCCUCUAAGGGGCCUCACCUCUCCCCCAGAGACCCACCAAUCCCCCUGCCUGGUCUUAAAAGAGCCCAGCAGCCCAGCCCUCUGCCUGGGGGGCACCAUGAGCCUAGGGGGCACCUCAGUCAACAGCAGCCCUAAGGUUAGAAUGGGGGGGCAGGGGGUUAGCUUGGUGGGCCAGGGGGUUCGCCUGGGGAACCAGGGGGGAAUGGUCUACCUAGGGGGCACCGUCAAGAACAGCCCUACCCUCAGCCUUGGAGGCAGUGUGGACCUGGGGGGUACUGUCAAUCUCAUCCUCAGCUUGGGGAACCAAGGAGACAGUCAUGUGGAGGUGAUGGAGGCUAAUCCUAGGGUGGGUGAGGAGGAGAGCACAGAGCCUGUCCACAGGGACAACAACAUGACAUCAGCUCCUGCAUACGAGAGUAUUUUACUGCCCCGCCUCCACACCAAGACCUCCUCCUCUUCAUCCCCCUCCUCCUCCUCCGGGGCUCCUCAAUCUUGCGUCUCUUUCUCCUCCUCCCUGCCCAAGAACACCUCCAUCUUCUCUAGUCUGAAGAUAAGGAGCAAGAAGAGGAGAAGGAAGAGAGACGCUGGCCGCCACACCAUUCAGAAAAUCAUGGUUGUAGAGGGGGAGGAGCAGACAGAGGUGGCAUGUCCUGCUGAAGCUGCACCCCAGCAAAUCACGCUGUACGACACCCAGACCUGGCCAAUGAAGGAGGGCCGGAGGAAGAAGAAGAGCCUAUUAAAGGCCGAGGGGGUGGGGCCAGGGCAGGGGGUGGAACUCGUGGACUACAUGGAUAACCCAUUGGCCAGGGAUAUUGAAGAUGAAUGUUCUGGGGUCUCCACUGUCAGCCCCUAUGCAGUGACAGAGGCAGUCUCUAUAGCUCCACCCAGGGGCCAGGUGAGGAGCCACUGCAGGUUCCUGUCUCUGGGGUCUGUUUUGACCUUCGACCUCUCCAAAGACAUGAGGUUGAUCCCCAGUAUACAGGAUGUCAUCACUAUAGGACUCCCAGAACACAGGGGAACCCCCAACCCAAACCUCAAUCCCAACCCUCACACAGAGACACAUGCAGCCCUCAGCUCUUUCAAACAUACCCGCUCCCCUCCCUCAGACACGCACAGAGGACCAGACAAUGAGGCCGUCACUACUUACAGAUAUGAAACAAUGACACAGAUACAGACACAGCCACUACUGACACUGACACUGACACAGCCACUACUGACAAAGACACAACCACUACCGACACAGACACAACCACUACUGACACAGAUACAGACACAGACACAACCAUUACUGACACAGACACAGCCACUACUGAGACAGACACCGACACAAAUACUAAAACAGACAAAGCCACUGACACAGGCUGUUCAGCUAGAGCCUCUGUCUAAUCUAGAUACAGAUUUUCCUCCUCCUCCUCCUCCUGCCCUGGAUGAGGACUGGGAUCAGAACGUAUCAAGCAAUGACCUAUCCCUAUCACAGAUCCAGACCGUACUCCAGGAGCCUGAGCAAGAGUGGUCGGAGCUCAUCUUCAGCAAGCAACCACCAAUCACAGCUUAUUGCCCAAAGAGUCCCACUCCAAUGAACCGAGACCAUUACAAUUACAUGGAAACGACCAUGGUUAGUAGAAGUCCUAUUGUAAAGAGCAAGGACCCCUGUCCCUCCUCAGCCUAUCAGAACCAUGAGAGCAAGGACCCCUGUCCCUCCUCAGCCUAUCAGAACCAUGAGCGCAAGGACCCCUGUCCCUCCUCAGCCUAUCAGAACCAUGAGCGCAAGGACCCCUGUCCCUCCUCAGCCUAUCAGAACCAUGAGCGCAAGGACCCCUGUCCAUCCUCAGCCUAUAAGAACCAUGAGAGCAAGGACCCCUGUCCCUCCUCAGCCUAUCAGAACCACGAGUGCCUCAUUCAGGACCUCAAUGGACACCAGUACCAUCAUAGGUUGAAGACCCAUAGAGAGAGUGUUGACCUCCAGGAGACCAGCCAGGCUUCUCAGAUGGUUGUGAAUCUGAAGGUCAGUGGGUUAGGGAGUAUGAUGCAAGACUCUAUGGACUCUGGCAUCUCUGGUGUCUCCAACUCUGGGAGCUUGAAGCUCAAUGCACCUGAUGUUCUCCAAGAGCCCCAGCCCAUGAGGACUGUGGUGGGGAGGCUAGUGUCUCUGGAGGAGGGGCGCAUGGAGGCUGUGUCCACACCCAGGGAAAAUCCCACAGAAACCCCAGCUCCUGCCCACCCAGAGACAAAAACAACACCCAGAAACAGACACCACCAGACAGAGACAGAACUCGACUCUGAUCCGCUCGACCCCGACCUCACCAUCCAUCCAGACCACCAGCAGUUUGAGGAGGUAGAGGAGGAGCUGGAGGACAUCUGGAACCAUAGCAAUGGCUACAGACAGAGUAUCUCCUCUGACAUCAUGUACCAGCCACACCAAGAGGAGAAGGAGGGGGGAAGUAGCAACACCCCAGGACUGACCACAGACCCCCUCUCACCCCCCCAGGCCCAGCCCCAGGCUACCCCCUACAGGAAGCUGAUAACAACUUCUGCCCCUAACCUUCUGGUGGCUGAAUUCACACUCCCCUCCUCCCUCCAAACCCUACUGGGGUACAACCAGGACCAGAACCAGGACCAGGGCUUUAGCCAAGACCCUAACUCCAGAGAAGAGCUCCCUAUGCUGGCUAACAGAGACAUGAGGUCCUGGGCAGCUUUCCCUAUUCAGGACCAACCCUGGAGGACCACACCACUGGUCAAUGAAACGGCAGCAGAACCAGUCAAGCUGCCGGAAAUGGAGGACCAGAAGAGAUAUAUCUACCAUUAUAGAGAGGAGGAGGAAGAGGAUGAGGAGGAGAAGAUGGAGGACACAGGUUGUCCAAAGGACCCAUCAAUGAGUCUGCUGUCUGUCCACAUGGGUCUGCACGGAAACAAUCAGCGAGCUACAAGUUGUGGCACUCUGGAAGGUGUCAUGGAAAAGCAUGGAGAGAGUCUGGCCACAGGGGGGCGAUGUGGCACUAUGAAUGGGAGUGGGUCUGAGCUGCAGACGAUGGAGGGAACUCUGGAGAGGAAACACAAGCUGCAGCUGGGAGGGAAGAAGGCCAGGUCUCGAGCAUGGAGCUCCCAUCAUGCAGUGCUUUACAAACAGACACUCUGCUUCUACCAAGACAGAAAGGAUACACUGAGGAACUGUGUGUGUGGCCUGUCUCUAACCCUGACGGGAGCAGAAUGUGUCUCAGCCCCAGAGAACACUAAGAAACCACAGUGUUUCAGUCUGCGCUUAAGAGAUGGCUCAGAGUACCUCCUCAACACAGCAAACCGAUUCAUGAUGAAGAAAUGGAUGCUGAAAAUACAAGCCAACAGUGUGCCCAGUGAGCAUGUCUCCUCCAUGACGUCACCCAGCGACCUCUUGGUUCAGGACCACCCCGCCCCCUUCACCACCUCUUUCCUCUCACAAAGUACCAGCAGGGGGACGACCAGAGCCAAGGAGAUAGUUGUCCUGACCAGAGAGACCAGAGAGACUCACCGUCAGAUCCCUCAGUUGCACCCAGAGAAACAGCAGGACCCAACAUCCUCAUCACAUACAGGCCGUCGUGAAGAUAACUAUGACUCCCUGAGACAGAAACUGUGUGGUAGAUCCAGGGAGAACAGCCCUUCCUCCUUGCACUCCUCCAUCUCUCCUUUCUCCCUCCACAACUCGUCCUCCAUCCCUCCAUUCUCCCUCCACUCCCCUGUCUCUCCUCCUUUCUCCUCUGUCUAUAGAGGUGGUCAGGACUGGCUCAGUCAAGUGAACAAGUGUCACUCAUUUACCUCAGCAAGGUACCAGAAUAUUAAACCAGCGUUGCUGCCCCCAGGAGGCAGAGGCCGGGACUACGGAUCAGUGGGUCUGGACUGUGGGUCAAACUACUCCGUGACUAUGAUUAUAGGAGACAAGCAGUCUGCCGCCUCUCCCACUCUCAGUUGUGAUGGUAGUGGUCCAUCUAUCACCAGUCACACUGACCCACAGCGCCCCCUGCUGGAUGGAUGGCAGCACCACUCAUAUCACCAGGACUCUACUACAAGAAGGCAGCUUCACCGGCACCAAGCAAUGUACCACCACGACCAGGAACCAUCUCUGAGGUCCUGCACCGGUCUGCCUCCGCCACGCAAGAAGUCUGUCUUCAACAAGUUCUUUGGGAAGAAAGACUGA
Long non-coding RNA from Oncorhynchus mykiss (rainbow trout), 7083 nucleotides. The record is from Ensembl. Lineage: Eukaryota; Metazoa; Chordata; Actinopteri; Salmoniformes; Salmonidae.